CAGCACCCAGGUAAAAAUAAACAAAACUAAAUAGUGUCUGUUUUUGUUUCCUGCUAAGUUCUACGUUUCCUGCUAAGUUCUAUCUAAUUUUCACAAAGAAAAACCUUCUUUGCACCACGAGCUCUGAAAUAUUUCCUUCGCCGACGAAUCCGUCGUACCCAAGAAAUGUAAUUCUUGAAUACAGUGCUGGCUCCGUGGCUGGCCCUAAUGAAACUGGCCGAUCUUGUUGUUGUCGCCGGAGACGUGCUGUACAGGAAGUCUGGAGUAGUCGAUUUUAUUCUUAGGAAAUGAAAGAUUCAAGAUUGUGCAAAUAAUCGAUGACAACCUUCCAAACACCAAUCUUGGAAUAAUUCAAAAGUAAAUUCCAAUGUCCGGUGUGUUCGUUUUUCGCAGACCACGUGAGUUCGCUGCCGCCAUGUACCAGUCCAGUAAAUUGCCUGCCCGGUUUGUGACCGCGAAGAUGAGCAUCGCCACAAGGCUGCGUCCUCGGGCUCGGGCUCCGUAUGGCCAGCGGAAGGGCUUGGUCUCCCGGAUACCCGGAUAGAAGCCAACUUUUGUUCCUUUCCGGACCCAUUUGGAAGGAUGCGAAAGAGCUGCAGGUGCCGUACCAGGAAGCGGUGCCAGUGAGAAGCAAGAUUUUUUUUUUAAUUUAUAUUUAUUCAGAUUUUUUUUUCUUCCAU
Culex quinquefasciatus (southern house mosquito) is the source of this 680-nucleotide long non-coding RNA. RefSeq lists it as uncharacterized. The record is from RefSeq and is a predicted model, not a curated record. The transcript is spliced from 4 exons. Lineage: Eukaryota; Metazoa; Arthropoda; Insecta; Diptera; Culicidae.